UUCAAAUGGCCAAAAAUGGGAAAAAAAGAUAACUUUUUGGUAACAUCGUAACACCGUAACACCGUAACACCGUAACAUCGUAACACCGUAACACCGUAACAUCGUAACACCGUAACAUCGUAACAUCGUAACAUCGUAACAGUAACACUAACAUCGUAACAGCAACAGUAACAUUCUAACAGUAACGGUAACAGUAACAUUCUAACAGUAACGGUAACAGUAACAUUCUAACAGUAACGGUAACAUCGUAACAUCGUAACAUCGAAACAGUAACAUCGUAACAGUAACAGUAACAUCGUAACAUCGUAACAGUAACAGUAACAUUCUAACAGUAACGGUUACACCGUAACAUCGUAACAGUAACUGUAACAUCGUAACAGUAACAGUAACAUCGUAACAGUAACAGUAACAUCAUAGCAGUAACAGUAACAUCGUAACAUCGUAACAGUAACAGUAACAUUCUAACAGUAACGGUAACAUCGUAACAUCGUAACAGUAACAGUAACAUCGUAACAUCGUAACAAUAACAGUAACAUUCUAACAGUAACGGUAACAUCGUAACAUCGUAACAUCGAAACAGUAAUAUCGUAACAGUAACAGUAACAUCGUAACAUCGUAACAUCGUAACAGUAACAGUAACAUUCUAACAGUAACGGUAACACUGUAACAUCGAAACAGUAACAUCAUAACAGUAACAGUAACAUCGUAACAUCGUAACAUCGUAACAUCGUAACAGUAACAGUAACAUUCUAACAAUGACGGUAACAUCGUAACAGUAACAGUAACAUUCUAAAAUGACGGUAACAUCGUAACAGUAACAGUAACAUCGAAACAUCGUAACAGUAACGGUAACACCGUAACAUCGUAACAGUAAUAGUAACAGUAACAUCGUAACAGUAACAGUAACAUUCUAUAGCGGGUUAUCUCUGCGAGGGUUAUCUCUGCGCGGGUUAUCUCUGCGAAGGUUAUCUCUGCGCGGGUUAUCUCUGCGAAAGUUAUCUCUGCGAGGGUUAUCGCUGGGUUAGGUCUGGGUUAGGUCGGGGUUGGGACUGGGUUAGGUCUGGGUUAGGUCCGGGUUAGGUCUGGGUUAGGUCUGGGUUAGGUCUGGGUUAGGUCCGGGUUAGGUCCGGGUUAGGUCCGGGUUAGGUCCGGGUUAGGUCUGGGUUAGGUCUGGAAAUGUUGAAAAUAAAUAAAUAAUAAAUAAAAUGUUGAAAUAUUUACAUAUUGUUAUAUGCGUUAACAGUGUUAUUAUGUAUUGUUGGGACACCUUAUACGUAGUUGAUAAUCUAUCUGUAAAGAUCGCAUUUAGAUAGAAACAAAGAUGUUUGAUUGAUUAAAACCUCACAAUAUUGAAUUCAAGUCGAUUAAGUGCCUUAAGAAGGAAGAACAAGUAUUAAGCCUAUUCGAUCAACAUGAUUUAAGUUGUAUUCUUAUAUGCAACGUGAAGAGGGUUAAUAGCAACAAAAAAUUGAGAGACAGCUUUCGUUUGGUUAUGUGUUAGGUUACCUUUCACGCAGCUCAAAUGUUCAUUUAUUUAUUUAAAUAGGUAGUUGGACAAAUGACAAUUUCAUUUGCUAUACACUCAUAGGUUAGGUUACAAUACGUAUUCCGUUACAUUAAAGUGAAUCUUUCACCAAUAAAUAUCACAUUGUACACUUCAACGUACUAAUACAUGCUUCUAUCAAAGGGUGUACAACGUGUCGUCUUAAGGGGAAAAAAAGAAAAUAAAUAAAUACAUCUGUAACUAACAUCCGAUAACCUCCAGGUUGUUAACCUUUUGCACUUGAGAGAUGACUGACAGUCCUAACUUAACCUCGAUGUAGUUACUCCAAAAGUGACAUGUGACUAUCUACAUUGAUGCAGUAAAUCUUAAGGUAGAUAAUGCUUACAAGGUUUAAUUUUUUUUUUAUUUCAAUGUAAUUCCAGUUAUCAAUCGUAUAAUUCUCUGACAGGUAAAGGAAACUUGAUUAUGAAAGGUUAAAUUAAUUCCAAUCGUACAACUUCCAAGCUAAUAUAUGGCUUUGCAUUUACAUUGUACAAAGUUAAGAAUGCGUUCUGCAGUUGUUGAUACAUACUACAAAAAAAAGACAAAGGAAAAGGCUCUGAAUGCAAAAGAUUAACUCACACCUACGCAACGAAACAUACAUAGUUAUACCAAUCGCAUAGAGAAACUUGUCUUAUUUCGUUUGUUAACCAAUGUAUCACACGUUUCACAGUCCGAUUUGCACACUGUAUCUCACUGACGCUACACUAACAAUUGCAGUCGUCUUCAAAAAAAAAAGAGGCACUCCUUUUGCAGGCUUCUUCUCCUCUCGUACAAGCUUCCGGGCACAAUCUUGAACACCAAAAAAAAAAAAAAACAAAA
Molecule: long non-coding RNA, 2365 nt
Organism: Hylaeus volcanicus
Lineage: Eukaryota; Metazoa; Arthropoda; Insecta; Hymenoptera; Colletidae
Exons: 2
Source: RefSeq, a predicted model, not a curated record